Molecule: RNase P RNA, 417 nt
Filed under: Coxiellaceae bacterium
Lineage: Bacteria; Pseudomonadati; Pseudomonadota; Gammaproteobacteria; Legionellales; Coxiellaceae
Description: Bacterial RNase P class A
Rfam family: Bacterial RNase P class A
About the family: Ribonuclease P (RNase P) is a ubiquitous endoribonuclease, found in archaea, bacteria and eukarya as well as chloroplasts and mitochondria. Its best characterised activity is the generation of mature 5'-ends of tRNAs by cleaving the 5'-leader elements of precursor-tRNAs. Cellular RNase Ps are ribonucleoproteins.
Source: Rfam by way of RNAcentral
CGAGCUGGCCAGACAAUCGCUGAUCCGCAAGGGUUGGAGGAAAGUCCGGGCUCCAUAGGGCAAAGUGCCAGGUAACCCCUGGGAGGCGUGAGCCUACGGAAAGUGCCACAGAAAAUAUACCGCCCNNCGUAUUCAUCUUUGAUUUAUUUCAUCAAAUCUCAGCUUUUGCCGAGAUAAAUCAGCGAUGGCUGCGGGGUAAGGGUGAAAAGGUGCGGUAAGAGCGCACCGCAUGGGUGGUAACAUCCAUGGCAGGGAAAACCCCGCUUGGAGCAAGACCAAAUAGGGGUCCUCGUGGUUAGACCACNACAGUGCUGCCCGCACUCGGGACCCGGGUAGGUUGCUAGAGGUGUAUGGUGACGUACAUCCCAGAGAGAUGAUUGUCCACGACAGAACCCGGCUUAACGGCUAGCUCAAUUC